GGUGUGAGCUGUGGGUUCUAGGGUUUCAACUCUAGGUUUUGUGAGAAGAAAAUACAAGAGUGAGUGUUAGCCAAUCUUUCAUACUACCACCUCCUUGUAAAGCUUCAUCUUAUAAUCUAGAGGAGUCUAAGAGAUCCGAAGAAAGGAGCUUGGAUCAGCCAUCCAGAUCCUUCGACACGAGUUAGCACUCUCAUGAAGGAAGAUCCGAUCAGGGCUUUGAAUUGAUGAUCUGUAGAGGUUGGAUGAUCUGUGCGGCUGUUCGACAUUAGUGAGAGCUUUGUACCAUAUAUAUCAGUAGUAGAGAUCAUCGAUCCAUGAAAAGAUGAUGAGUUAUGAACUCAACCAAUAUGAUUUAAAGG
RNAcentral lists this long non-coding RNA (359 nucleotides) under Elaeis guineensis (African oil palm). RNAcentral describes it as "long non-coding RNA (EGUI_LNC081779)". Lineage: Eukaryota; Viridiplantae; Streptophyta; Magnoliopsida; Arecales; Arecaceae. The record is from RNAcentral.